RNAcentral lists this ribosomal RNA (408 nucleotides) under uncultured bacterium. RNAcentral's name for it is "bacterial SSU rRNA". It matches the Rfam family "Bacterial small subunit ribosomal RNA", at positions 354 to 777 of the family's 1533-position model. The record is from RNAcentral.
GUGGGGAAUCUUGCACAAUGGGCGAAAGCCUGAUGCAGCAACGCCGCGUGAGCGAAGAAGGCCUUUGGGUCGUAAAGCUCUGUCGGUAGGGAAGAAGGAAGUGACGGUACCUACCGAGGAAGCCCCGGCUAACUACGUGCCAGCAGCCGCGGUAAUACGUAGGGGGCGAGCGUUAUCCGGAAUUAUUGGGCGUAAAGAGUACGUAGGCGGUUUUUUAAGCGAGGGGUAUAAGGCAGCGGCUUAACUGCUGUUGGCCCCUCGAACUGGAGGACUUGAGUGUCGGAGAGGAAAGCGGAAUUCCUAGUGUAGCGGUGAAAUGCGUAGAGAUUAGGAGGAACACCAGUGGCGAAGGCGGCUUUCUGGACGACAACUGACGCUGAGGUACGAAAGCGUGGGGAGCAAACAGGA